This is a long non-coding RNA of Esox lucius (northern pike), 715 nucleotides long. RefSeq lists it as uncharacterized. The transcript is spliced from 5 exons. The record is from RefSeq and is a predicted model, not a curated record. Lineage: Eukaryota; Metazoa; Chordata; Actinopteri; Esociformes; Esocidae.
UUUUUUUUUUCUGAUUGGCUGUGAGUAGAUGCUGAGUCUUUCCAUCCCAUGGAAUAAGAACUUGUGCAAUACUUUCGGGCCCCAUGAAAGGACUGUGGUUGUACAGGAGAUGCAUAAGUACAGCGCACCCCCGAUGCGGACCUGGUUGUCAUGGUGACGAGGACACAACUUGAUGAAUGCGCCACCAUGUCCAUGGGAAGCAUCCAACUCCCCGAUGGUCAAGAAACAGAGAAUACCGAUGCGCUGUAUGUUCCACGCAACAGGCCCCGCAAGGCUCCAGGUGGGACAGCUGACGUUCCAGGCAUCCUACCUGCAACAAGAGAGAGAUUCACCCGAUGAAGUUCAACUAUACUGACGGGUGUCUGCGUGGCAAUCAACAAAGUACAGCUGAUAGCCGAUAGUAAACGAGCCAGCACAAGAGUGGUGUCCAAAGCACUGUGGCUGCCUUACAGGUAUCCACAACACAGAAUACAUAUUCAUUCAGAUGUGAGCUGGACAUGCCCCACAGCACCUUAUGCCUCGUAAGGUUUGUCAGUGUUACAUCUGUCUCCUGAAGUGUUUACAUCUGUCUCCAGAAUAUGCCCAUAUAUGUUUUUGUAGAAGCGUUUUCCAGUUUAACAUUGUACAUUUUCUCUGAUCAGUAAUUAAUGUUAUUAUUUAUGAGUCACACACAUUUCCUAGGUAUGUUUGAAAAAAACCCUCAUUUUCAAUAUGG